UCAUGAAAGAAACAAAUAUAAAUGAAGUUUACUUUCAAAUGUUUCCCAUGAUUAGCCGCUGAACAAAGUGAUGCGACAAUACAUAUU
RNAcentral lists this small RNA (87 nucleotides) under Eubacterium sp. CAG:156. RNAcentral describes it as "GA-cis RNA". It matches the Rfam family "GA-cis RNA". Lineage: Bacteria; Bacillati; Bacillota; Clostridia; Eubacteriales; Eubacteriaceae. The record is from Rfam by way of RNAcentral.